GCCCAGACUCCUACGGGAGGCAGCAGUGAGGAAUAUUGGUCAAUGGGCUUACGCCUGAACCAGCCAAGUCGCGUGAGGGAAGACUGCCCUAUGGGUUGUAAACCUCUUUUGUCAGGGAGCAAUUGGCGCUACGUGUAGCGUUAUCGAGAGUACCUGAAGAAAAAGCAUCGGCUAACUCCGUGCCAGCAGCCGCGGUAAUACGGAGGAUGCGAGCGUUAUCCGGAUUUAUUGGGUUUAAAGGGUGCGUAGGCGGAAUGCCAAGUCAGCGGUAAAAUUUCGGGGCUCAACCCCGUCGUGCCGUUGAAACUGGCGUUCUUGGGUGAGCGAGAAGUAUGCGGAAUGCGCGGUGUAGCGGUGAAAUGCAUAGAUAUCGCGCAGAACUCCGAUUGCGAAGGCAGCAUGCCGGCUCCACACUGACGCUGAGGCACGAAAGCGUGGGUAUCGAACAGGAUUAGAUACCCCAGUAA
This 467-nucleotide ribosomal RNA is filed under the name uncultured bacterium. RNAcentral describes it as "bacterial SSU rRNA". It matches the Rfam family "Bacterial small subunit ribosomal RNA", at positions 329 to 793 of the family's 1533-position model. The record is from RNAcentral.